Molecule: ribosomal RNA, 492 nt
Filed under: uncultured bacterium
Lineage: Bacteria
Description: partial 16S ribosomal RNA
Rfam family: Bacterial small subunit ribosomal RNA
Source: RNAcentral
AGUGAACGCUGGCGGUAGGCCUAACACAUGCAAGUCGAACGGCAGCACAGUAAGAGCUUGCUCUUACGGGUGGCGAGUGGCGGACGGGUGAGGAAUACAUCGGAAUCUACUUUUUCGUGGGGGAUAACGUAGGGAAACUUACGCUAAUACCGCAUACGACCUACGGGUGAAAGCAGGGGAUCUUCGGACCUUGCGCGAUUGAAUGAGCCGAUGUCGGAUUAGCUAGUUGGCGGGGUAAAGGCCCACCAAGGCGACGAUCCGUAGCUGGUCUGAGAGGAUGAUCAGCCACACUGGAACUGAGACACGGUCCAGAGUCCUACGGGAGGCAGCAGUGGGGAAUAUUGGACAAUGGGCGCAAGCCUGAUCCAGCCAUACCGCGUGGGUGACGAAGGCCUUCGGGUUGUAAAGCCCUUUUGUUGGGAAAGAAAAGCAGCAGGUUAAUACCCCGCUGUUCUGACGGUACCCAAAGAAUAAGCACCGGCUAACUUCGUG